CGAGGUCAAAUGGAGUAACAGAAACCCGGCUUUUGGAUUUCAGGUGAAAGACGACCUUCGCAAAAGGAGAGAUACUUCCUUGGGUAGCCAAUCCCUAAAACUGCCCUUUGAUGCCCUUACACGGACGCUUCUUGCAUGGUGGGGGAUCGUGCCAUAUCCCAUUUCAUGUGCAAGGGCAAAGCAGAUUAGACGGCACCCUACAAUUUAUCUGUACGAAAGGCGAAUACUU
RNAcentral lists this non-coding RNA (229 nucleotides) under unclassified sequences. RNAcentral describes it as "RT-2 RNA". It matches the Rfam family "RT-2 RNA". Rfam says of the family: Coriobacteriales (Actinobacteria), Clostridiales (Firmicutes). Downstream gene The record is from Rfam by way of RNAcentral.